UUGUUCCUACGGGGCGCAGCAGUGAGGAAUAUUGGUCAAUGGGAGAGGUCCUGAACCAGCCAAGCCGCGUGAGGGAAGACGGCCCUAUGGGUUGUAAACCUCUUUUGUCGGAGAACAAAACCCGGGACGUGUCCCGGACUGCGUGUAUCCGAAGAAAAAGCAUCGGCUAACUCCGUGCCAGCAGCCGCGGUAAUACGUAGGUGGCAAGCGUUAUCCGGAUUUACUGGGUGUAAAGGGCGUGUAGGCGGGAAAGCAAGUCAGAUGUGAAAACCACGGGCUCAACCUGUGGCCUGCAUUUGAAACUG
RNAcentral lists this ribosomal RNA (305 nucleotides) under uncultured bacterium. RNAcentral describes it as "bacterial SSU rRNA". It matches the Rfam family "Bacterial small subunit ribosomal RNA", at positions 333 to 635 of the family's 1533-position model. The record is from RNAcentral.